Molecule: long non-coding RNA, 282 nt
Filed under: Homo sapiens (human)
Lineage: Eukaryota; Metazoa; Chordata; Mammalia; Primates; Hominidae
Description: HSALNT0390152
Source: RNAcentral
CCUUCUGUCUUGGCCUCCCGAAAUGCUGAGAUUUCAAGCGCUCCUCCACCAAGCCAAGGCCAGACUCCUGCAAUCAUAGGAUGGCAACACCACCUCUAAAGCACAGAACUUCAGGCUUUGCUUCGGAAGUGGCACCAUGGUCUCUUCAUUUUCCCUUUCUUCAAGGUCAGAAAACUGAAGCUGUUAGGAGUUUUAGUGUUAAGUUCCUUCCGAGGAUGUUAAUUAGGCUUCAAACUGUUUUGUUCUGAGAAAUAAAAACUAAACUCCAGUCAUUCAAGCUAA